GAAGUUGUUUGUCGUCUGCUCUGAAAAUAACCACAGCAGGAAUUGGGCUGUAUUUUUAGGACACAGGAUGGACCAUGGACAUGCCUUGUGCCUUCUGGUAUGGGAUUGUUGGCUUCCUAUUGCUCUACAAAGCUUUGUGAGUCAUUCCUUCUCACUAGAGAAACUCCCUCCUGGGCACACAGAAGAUUGGGCGACCUGGAAGGCACUCCAACAGGUUGCGUUCUGGCACCACGAGAUGCAGAGCUAACCUUGAGAAAUGGGGCUACAAUUAGUAGAAAACAGAAAGAAGUGGAAUAAUUGGUCCUUAGGAGAAAGAUGGUGCAGCCGUAUCCAAGACUAUCCAGGAAUUGAUUAUUCAAUUGCAAUUUGAAUUGAAGUUCAAUAUUGUGAUGUAAAACAACUGAAAAUGUUGAUCCCUUGUGGAGAAAU
Anolis sagrei ordinatus is the source of this 429-nucleotide long non-coding RNA. RefSeq lists it as uncharacterized. NCBI's taxonomy places the organism in Eukaryota, Metazoa, Chordata, Lepidosauria, Squamata, Anolidae. The record is from RefSeq and is a predicted model, not a curated record.